RNAcentral lists this small nuclear RNA (63 nucleotides) under Mus pahari (shrew mouse). RNAcentral's name for it is "predicted gene, 22203 (MGP_PahariEiJ_G0033099.1)". It matches the Rfam family "U7 small nuclear RNA". From Rfam's summary of the family: Animal histone pre-mRNAs are spliced by a different mechanism than nuclear pre-mRNAs and self-splicing introns. This processing involves the U7 snRNP, which contains only one RNA species: U7. The record is from RNAcentral. Lineage: Eukaryota; Metazoa; Chordata; Mammalia; Rodentia; Muridae.
UAGAGAGCAAAAUUCUUUUGGAAUUUUUCUAGCAGGAUUUCUGACUUUGCUCAGAAAACCCAA